This 273-nucleotide ribosomal RNA is filed under the name uncultured bacterium. Its description in RNAcentral is "partial 16S ribosomal RNA". It matches the Rfam family "Bacterial small subunit ribosomal RNA", at positions 524 to 796 of the family's 1533-position model. The record is from RNAcentral.
UACGGAAGGGGCGAGCGUUGUUCGGAAUCAUUGGGCGUAAAGGGCGCGUAGGUGGUGCUGUAUGUCUCCCGUGAAAGCCCACGGCUCAACUGUGGGAGGUCGGGAGAAACUGCAGGACUUGAGGCUGGGAGGGGCUGGUGGAAUUCCCUGUGUAGCGGUGAAAUGCGUAGAGAUGGGGGAGAACACUCGUGGCGAAGGCGGCCAGCUAGACCAGUUCUGACACUGAGGCGCGACAGCGUGGGGAGCAAACAGGAUUAGAAACCCCCGUAGUCC